Molecule: ribosomal RNA, 440 nt
Filed under: uncultured bacterium
Lineage: Bacteria
Description: partial 16S ribosomal RNA
Rfam family: Bacterial small subunit ribosomal RNA
Source: RNAcentral
CCUACGGGAGGCAGCAGUGGGGGAUAUUGCACAAUGGGGGGAACCCUGAUGCAGCGACGCCGCGUGGGUGAAGAAGCGCCUCGGCGCGUAAAGCCCUGUCAGCAGGGAAGAAAAUGACGGUACCUGACGAAGAAGCCCCGGCUAACUACGUGCCAGCAGCCGCGGUAAUACGUAGGGGGCAAGCUUUAUCCGGAUUUACUGGGUGUAAAGGGGGCGCAGACGGCGAUGCAAGCCAGGAGUGAAAGCCCGGGGCCCAACCCCGGGACUGCUCUUGCAACUGCGUGGCUGGAGUGCAGGAGGGGCAGGCGGAAUUCCUGGGGUAGCGGUGAAAUGCGUAGAUAUCAGGAGGAACACCGGUGGCGAAGGCGGCCUGCUGGACUGCAACUGACGUUGAGGCCCGAAAGCGUGGGGAGCAAACAGGAUUAGAUACCCCUGUAGUC